AUGCUUGCUUUGGAGCACAUAUACUAAAAUUGGAAUGAUACUGAAAAGAUUAGCAUGGCCCCUGUGCAAGGAUGACACGCAAAUUCGUGAAGAGUUCCUGAAAAAC
This is a small nuclear RNA of Nyctereutes procyonoides (raccoon dog), 106 nucleotides long. NCBI's taxonomy places the organism in Eukaryota, Metazoa, Chordata, Mammalia, Carnivora, Canidae. The record is from RefSeq and is a predicted model, not a curated record.